This 212-nucleotide ribosomal RNA is filed under the name uncultured bacterium. Its description in RNAcentral is "partial 16S ribosomal RNA". It matches the Rfam family "Bacterial small subunit ribosomal RNA", at positions 568 to 774 of the family's 1533-position model. The record is from RNAcentral.
UGCGUAGGUGGCUUGAAAAGUUUGAUGUGAAAGCUCAGGGCUUAACCCUGAAAUGGCAUUGAAUACUGUCGAGCUGGAGGUUUGGGAGGGGGGACGUGGAAUUCUUGGUGUAGCAGUGAAAUGCGUAGAUAUCAAGAGGAACACCAGUGGCGAAGGCGAGUCCCUGGACAACACCUGACACUGAGGCACGAAAGGCUAGGGGAAGGCAAACA